GGUUGCGAUCAUACCAGCACUAAUGCACCGGAUUCCAUCAGAACUCCGCAGUUAAGCGUGCUUGGGCGAGAGUAGUACUGGGAUGGGUGACCCCCUGGGAAGUCCUCGUGUUGCAACCC
RNAcentral lists this ribosomal RNA (119 nucleotides) under Helianthus annuus (common sunflower). Lineage: Eukaryota; Viridiplantae; Streptophyta; Magnoliopsida; Asterales; Asteraceae. The record is from RNAcentral.